UGGGGAAUAUUGGACAAUGGGCGAAAGCCUGAUCCAGCCACGCCGCGUGAGUGAUGAAGGCCCUAGGGUUGUAAAGCUCUUUUGUGCGGGAAGAUAAUGACGGUACCGCAAGAAUAAGCCCCGGCUAACUUCGUGCCAGCAGCCGCGGUAAUACGAAGGGGGCUAGCGUUGCUCGGAAUCACUGGGCGUAAAGGGUGCGUAGGCGGGUUUCUAAGUCAGAGGUGAAAGCCUGGAGCUCAACUCCAGAACUGCCUUUGAUACUGGAAGUCUUGAGUUCGGGAGAGGUGAGUGGAACUGCGAGUGUAGAGGUGAAAUUCGUAGAUAUUCGCAAGAACACCAGUGGCGAAGGCGGCUCACUGGCCCGAUACUGACGCUGAGGCACGAAAGCGUGGGGAGCAAACA
Molecule: ribosomal RNA, 402 nt
Filed under: uncultured bacterium
Lineage: Bacteria
Description: bacterial SSU rRNA
Rfam family: Bacterial small subunit ribosomal RNA
Source: RNAcentral